This 65-nucleotide transfer RNA is filed under the name Lanthanaphalara mira. RNAcentral's name for it is "tRNA-Pro". The record is from RNAcentral. Lineage: Eukaryota; Metazoa; Arthropoda; Insecta; Hemiptera; Aphalaridae.
UCAAAAUGUGGUUUAAUUAAAAUAUUAGUUUUGGAGACUAAAGUUAAGUAUAAAACUUCUUUUUG